AGAGUUUGAACCUGGCUCAGGACGAACGCUGGCGGCGGGCCUAACACAUGCAAGUCGAACGCACUCGACCUUCGGGUCACAUGAGUGAGUGGCGAACGGGUGAGUAACACGUGAGGAACCUGCCCCGAAGACUGGAAUAACCCGAGGAAACUCGGGCUAAUACCGGAUAUCCCCACCAGGUCGCAUGGCCAGGUGAGGAAAUGCUCCGGCGCUUCGGGAGGGUCUCGCGGCCUAUCAGCUAGUUGGUGAGGUAACGGCUCACCAAGGCAUCGACGGGUAGCUGGUCUGAGAGGACGAUCAGCCACACUGGGACUGAGACACGGCCCAGACUCCUACGGGAGGCAGCAGUGGGGAAUCUUGCGCAAUGGGCGAAAGCCUGACGCAGCCACGCCGCGUGAGGGAUGAAGGCUUUCGGGUUGUAAACCUCUUUCAGCAGGGACGAAAAUGACGGUACCUGCAGAAGAAGCUCCGGCCAACUACGUGCCAGCAGCCGCGGUAACACGUAGGGAGCAAGCGUUGUCCGGAUUUAUUGGGCGUAAAGAGCUCGUAGGCGGUUCAGUCAGUCGGGUGUGAAAACUUGAGGCUCAACCUCAAGAGGCCACUCGAUACUGCUGUGACUAGAGUCCGGUAGAGGAGUGUGGAAUUCCUGGUGUAGCGGUGAAAUGCGCAGAUAUCAGGAGGAACACCGACAGCGAAGGCAGCACUCUGGGCCGGUACUGACGCUGAGGAGCGAAAGCAUGGGGAGCAAACA
RNAcentral lists this ribosomal RNA (751 nucleotides) under uncultured bacterium. Its description in RNAcentral is "bacterial SSU rRNA". It matches the Rfam family "Bacterial small subunit ribosomal RNA", at positions 8 to 774 of the family's 1533-position model. The record is from RNAcentral.